UACGAAGGGGGCGAGCGUUGUUCGGAAUUACUGGGCGUAAAGGGCGCGUAGGCGGUCUUGCAAGUCCUGUGUGAAAUCCCUCGGCUCAACUGAGGAACUGCACAGGAAACUGCUUGGCUUGAGUUCGGGAGAGGGAAGCGGAAUUCCGGGUGUAGCGGUGAAAUGCGUAGAUAUCCGGAGGAACACCGGUGGCGAAGGCGGCUUCCUGGACCGACACUGACGCUGAGGCGCGAAAGCUAGGGGAGCAAACGGG
This 253-nucleotide ribosomal RNA is filed under the name uncultured bacterium. RNAcentral's name for it is "partial 16S ribosomal RNA". It matches the Rfam family "Bacterial small subunit ribosomal RNA", at positions 524 to 776 of the family's 1533-position model. The record is from RNAcentral.